UUUCUCGGGUAGUGCGCAUUCCU
This 23-nucleotide microRNA is filed under the name Heligmosomoides polygyrus. Its description in RNAcentral is "hpo-miR-10051-3p". The record is from miRBase by way of RNAcentral. Lineage: Eukaryota; Metazoa; Nematoda; Chromadorea; Rhabditida; Heligmosomidae.